UACAGAGGUCUCAAGCGUUGUUCGGAUUCAUUGGGCGUAAAGGGCGCGUAGGCGGGUUCGCAAGUCUGUGGUGAAAGCCUCCAGCUUAACUGGAGAAGUGCCGUGGAUACUGCGAAUCUUGAGGAGGGUAGGGGCGUCUGGAACGGUCGGUGGAGCGGUGAAAUGCGUUGAUAUCGACCGGAACUCCGGUGGCGAAGGCGAGGCGCUGGACCCUUUCUGACGCUGAGGCGCGAAAGCCAGGGGAGCAAACGGG
This 253-nucleotide ribosomal RNA is filed under the name uncultured bacterium. RNAcentral describes it as "partial 16S ribosomal RNA". It matches the Rfam family "Bacterial small subunit ribosomal RNA", at positions 524 to 776 of the family's 1533-position model. The record is from RNAcentral.